Molecule: unclassified non-coding RNA, 251 nt
Filed under: Hevea brasiliensis (rubber tree)
Lineage: Eukaryota; Viridiplantae; Streptophyta; Magnoliopsida; Malpighiales; Euphorbiaceae
Source: RNAcentral
GAUAAGCCUUAAUAACAAAAAUUUCUUCAAUAAUAAAAUCUAUGUUCCUACAAUUAAAAUAUAGCUUGAAAAGUCAAACAAUUAAAAAAUUGUUUGAUCCUCAAUCACAUGCAUUAAACUAUGAUAGUUAUCCAAUAGCCAAAGCUGCACAACCAUCAUUGUCCUCUGCUUGCUUGCAUGCCCUGGAAAGUACUUAUUCCCACACAUAUAACAAGGUUUUGGAGGUCUUUUAGACUUGAUUGCAAGGGAGU